CUCAAACUAAACAUCCCGCUUCUUCAACUUAAUUUCACUGAAUAAGACAAGAAGCAAGCAAAGGGGCAGAAGAAACAAUAGUUCAAAACCACUUACUUUUUUAGAAAACUAAUUCAAUACCAUGAAUUCAACUAAAUUCUAAAUAGAAAUUCUACCACCUAAUAAACACUAGAUUUUUUAUGCUAGAAAUAAAAAGUAUAAAAUUAAUACAGUUAUGGAGCUUUACCUUCGUAGAAAGAAAGAGACAGAAUGUUAUUCGCGUCAAAAUCGCCGGAGUCGUGUCGAUUUGGCUGGAGCCGCGUCGAAAUCGCCAGAGAUUUACCUUCUGUUUACUUGGUUCAUAGUGAGAAAGAGAGAGAAGAGUGAGAGAGAGAGGUAAAAGAAUCUGAGUUGGGAUGGGUUUUAUUUGUUUUAUAUAGCUGACCCAUUUGACACCCCACCCAAC
RNAcentral lists this long non-coding RNA (445 nucleotides) under Panax ginseng (ginseng). Its description in RNAcentral is "long non-coding RNA (PGIN_LNC006324)". Lineage: Eukaryota; Viridiplantae; Streptophyta; Magnoliopsida; Apiales; Araliaceae. The record is from RNAcentral.